RNAcentral lists this ribosomal RNA (227 nucleotides) under uncultured bacterium. RNAcentral's name for it is "partial 16S ribosomal RNA". It matches the Rfam family "Bacterial small subunit ribosomal RNA", at positions 585 to 810 of the family's 1533-position model. The record is from RNAcentral.
AAGUCGGUUGUGAAAGCCUUCCGCUCAACGGAAGAACGGCAUCCGAUACUGCAUGGCUUGAGUGUGGGAGGGGAGAGCGGAACUUCUGGUGGAGCGGUGAAAUGCGUAGAUAUCAGAAGGAACACCGGCGGCGAAGGCGACUCUCUGGUCCAUAACUGACGCUGAGUGUGCGAAAGCUAGGGGAGCAAACGGGAUUAGAUACCCCGGUAGUCCUAGCCGUAAACGAU